This 330-nucleotide ribosomal RNA is filed under the name Triticum aestivum (bread wheat). RNAcentral's name for it is "partial small subunit ribosomal RNA". The record is from RNAcentral. Lineage: Eukaryota; Viridiplantae; Streptophyta; Magnoliopsida; Poales; Poaceae.
AUGCGUAUGUUGAGAUGGAUGUGUGGCCACACGAGGAAGGAUCGACUCCGGAAUGAUGAUAUACGAGAUAGAGUUGGGGUAGCACCAAUUGAGGAGAAGCUUGUCCAACAUCGUUUGAGAUGGUUUGGGCAUAUUCAGCGCAGGCCUCCAGAAGCUCCAGUGCAUAGCGGACGGCUAAAGCGUGCGGAGAAUGUCAAGAGAGGGCGGGGUCGACCGAUUUUGACAUGGGAGGAGUCCGUUAAGAGAGACCUGAAGGAUUGGAGUAUCGACAAAGAGCUAGCUAUGGACAGGGGUGCGUGGAAGCUUGCUAUCCAUGUGCCAGAGCCAUGA